RNAcentral lists this ribosomal RNA (62 nucleotides) under Rhodospirillaceae bacterium. Its description in RNAcentral is "partial 16S ribosomal RNA". It matches the Rfam family "Bacterial small subunit ribosomal RNA", at positions 1 to 62 of the family's 1533-position model. Lineage: Bacteria; Pseudomonadati; Pseudomonadota; Alphaproteobacteria; Rhodospirillales; Rhodospirillaceae. The record is from RNAcentral. RNAcentral also lists the same sequence under 1 other name.
CAACCUAAGAGUUUGAUCCUGGCUCAGAACGAACGCUGGCGGCAGGCCUAACACAUGCAAGU